Molecule: long non-coding RNA, 639 nt
Organism: Onychomys torridus (southern grasshopper mouse)
Lineage: Eukaryota; Metazoa; Chordata; Mammalia; Rodentia; Cricetidae
Exons: 5
Source: RefSeq, a predicted model, not a curated record
GCGCGUUCCCGGCACUCUCAGGGAGAGGAGCAGGGCGGGCCUGGACCUUUGUUCAGUCCUGCCCCAGGGAGUCUCAGCAGGGCCACAAGCUGGUGCACCGCGCUGGAGGCGGGGCUGGACCCGGGACUCAGGGACCCUGGCGGCAGAGGCGCUCCAGGCAGCACCGGAGGCAGCUGCUGACAGACACUGCCUCUCUUCCUUCCGGGGAUACCAGGGAGGUUGCCAACUGCCCAGGUCAGGCUUUGGCUGAAGCAUCUGCUCCAGCGGAGGGAGAUGUGCCCCAAGGCGUAUAUCCAUGGUGAUUAUAAAUGGACAAGAUUAAGCAUGCCGGUAGCAAGCUUGGAGAGAAGGCUUGAGUCACCUAUAACUUCUCCCUUCCCUGGAGACAACCCCCACCUCCUGCUCUUUCCUGUCACUGAGAGCCAGACUUCCUCUAGGAAGGCCCCCGGAUGCACGGGAAGACUGGGGGACUGCUGAGGCAUUCUCGCUACUUAAUGGGAUGGUCCAGUUUGGAAAAGCCAAGGUCCUUCCUCAGUUCCAGUGCUGGGCAGUGUGCUAUCCCUUCCAUUACACACCAUAGUCUAUACUGGAGAUGUUUUCCAUUCACACAGGAAGAUGCGGACCAUCUAUCUUCACUCU